Ipomoea nil (Japanese morning glory) is the source of this 97-nucleotide ribosomal RNA. The record is from Rfam. NCBI's taxonomy places the organism in Eukaryota, Viridiplantae, Streptophyta, Magnoliopsida, Solanales, Convolvulaceae.
GGAUGCAACCAUACCAGUACUAAUGCAUCGGAUUCCAUCAAAAUUUCAAAAUUAAACGUGCUUGGGCGAUACUAGUUCGAUCCGCGUGUUGCAUCUC